Molecule: small nucleolar RNA, 96 nt
Filed under: Fukomys damarensis (Damara mole-rat)
Lineage: Eukaryota; Metazoa; Chordata; Mammalia; Rodentia; Bathyergidae
Source: RNAcentral
AGAUCAGAUGGAGGGCUGCUUGUGGAUCAGAACAUUCUAGAAGCUUCAGCCAAGUAAGGCUGCAGUGGGCUCAUGCCAUGGGCCCUUCUAACACUU